RNAcentral lists this ribosomal RNA (699 nucleotides) under Achromobacter marplatensis. RNAcentral describes it as "bacterial SSU rRNA". It matches the Rfam family "Bacterial small subunit ribosomal RNA", at positions 763 to 1468 of the family's 1533-position model. Lineage: Bacteria; Pseudomonadati; Pseudomonadota; Betaproteobacteria; Burkholderiales; Alcaligenaceae. The record is from RNAcentral.
GGGGAGCAAACAGGAUUAGAUACCCUGGUAGUCCACGCCCUAAACGAUGUCAACUAGCUGUUGGGGCCUUCGGGCCUUGGUAGCGCAGCUAACGCGUGAAGUUGACCGCCUGGGGAGUACGGUCGCAAGAUUAAAACUCAAAGGAAUUGACGGGGACCCGCACAAGCGGUGGAUGAUGUGGAUUAAUUCGAUGCAACGCGAAAAACCUUACCUACCCUUGACAUGUCUGGAAUUCCGAAGAGAUUUGGAAGUGCUCGCAAGAGAACCGGAACACAGGUGCUGCAUGGCUGUCGUCAGCUCGUGUCGUGAGAUGUUGGGUUAAGUCCCGCAACGAGCGCAACCCUUGUCAUUAGUUGCUACGAAAGGGCACUCUAAUGAGACUGCCGGUGACAAACCGGAGGAAGGUGGGGAUGACGUCAAGUCCUCAUGGCCCUUAUGGGUAGGGCUUCACACGUCAUACAAUGGUCGGGACAGAGGGUCGCCAACCCGCGAGGGGGAGCCAAUCCCAGAAACCCGAUCGUAGUCCGGAUCGCAGUCUGCAACUCGACUGCGUGAAGUCGGAAUCGCUAGUAAUCGCGGAUCAGCAUGUCGCGGUGAAUACGUUCCCGGGUCUUGUACACACCGCCCGUCACACCAUGGGAGUGGGUUUUACCAGAAGUAGUUAGCCUAACCGCAAGGGGGGCGAUACCACGGUAGAUC